Molecule: ribosomal RNA, 377 nt
Filed under: uncultured bacterium
Lineage: Bacteria
Description: bacterial SSU rRNA
Rfam family: Bacterial small subunit ribosomal RNA
Source: RNAcentral
UAAGACAGAGGUGCCAAGCGUUAGGCGGAAUCACUGGGCUUAAAGCGUGUGUAGGCGGAUUUGUAAGUACCUUGUGAAAUCCCACGGCUCAACCGUGGAACUGCUCGGUAUACUGCUUAUCUUGAGCCACUUAGGGGCUACCGGAACAAAUGGUGGAGCGGUGAAAUGCGUAGAUAUCAUUUGGAACGCCAAUGGUGAAAACAGGUAGCUGGGAGUGUGCUGACGCUGAGACACGAAAGCCAGGGGAGCGAACGGGAUUAGAUACCCCGGUAGUCCUGGCCGUAAACGAUGUCGACUAGAUCGUGGCAGCUCUGACGUUGUCAUGGUCGAAGCAAAAGUGCUAAGUCGACCGCCUGGGAAGUACGGUCGCAAGGCUA